Molecule: ribosomal RNA, 1000 nt
Filed under: uncultured organism
Description: bacterial SSU rRNA
Rfam family: Bacterial small subunit ribosomal RNA
Source: RNAcentral
UGGGGGAUAUUGCGCAAUGGGGGCAACCCUAACGCAGCAACGCCGCGUGAAGGAUGAAGGUUUUCGGAUUGUAAACUUCUUUUAUUAAGGACGAAACUUGACGGUACUUAAUGAAUAAGCUCCGGCUAACUACGUGCCAGCAGCCGCGGUAAUACGUAGGGAGCAAGCGUUGUCCGGAUUUACUGGGUGUAAAGGGUGCGUAGGCGGCUUUGCAAGUCAGAUGUGAAAUCUAUGGGCUCAACCCAUAAACUGCAUUUGAAACUGUAGAGCUUGAGUGAAGUAGAGGCAGGCGGAAUUCCCCGUGUAGCGGUGAAAUGCGUAGAGAUGGGGAGGAACACCAGUGGCGAAGGCGGCCUGCUGGGCUUUAACUGACGCUGAGGCACGAAAGCGUGGGUAGCAAACAGGAUUAGAUACCCUGGUAGUCCACGCUGUAAACGAUGAUUACUAGGUGUGGGGGGUCUGACCCCUUCCGUGCCGGAGUUAACACAAUAAGUAAUCCACCUGGGGAGUACGGCCGCAAGGUUGAAACUCAAAGGAAUUGACGGGGGCCCGCACAAGCAGUGGAGUAUGUGGUUUAAUUCGAAGCAACGCGAAGAACCUUACCAGGUCUUGACAUCCAACUAACGAAGUAGAGAUACAUUAGGUGCCCUUCGGGGAAAGUUGAGACAGGUGGUGCAUGGUUGUCGUCAGCUCGUGUCGUGAGAUGUUGGGUUAAGUCCCGCAACGAGCGCAACCCUUGCUAUUAGUUGCUACGCAAGAGCACUCUAAUAGGACUGCCGUUGACAAAACGGAGGAAGGUGGGGACGACGUCAAAUCAUCAUGCCCCUUAUGACCUGGGCUACACACGUACUACAAUGGAUGUUAACAGAGGGAAGCAAGACAGCGAUGUGGAGCAAACCCCUAAAAACAUUCUCAGUUCAGAUUGCAGGCUGCAACCCGCCUGCAUGAAGAUGGAAUUGCUAGUAAUCGCGGAUCAGCAUGCCGCGGUGAAUACGUUCCC